UCUGUACCCCAUCACCAACUCCGCCUCCCUUCUGUAUUCCUACACGUUUUCUCCCAAUCUCCAUCGCAAAUCCCUAAUUUAGGAAGUUAGGGGUUUCGUCCUUCCUCCGGCGAAAACGCCGUCGUCUCGCUCCCUCCGGGGCCUCUCACCUCCGGGUUCCCUUUUCUUCACGGCGAAGUUACAGAUUUGGGGCAUCGCCUCGUCCACUCUCCCGUUCCGAAGGGAACGCCAACUCGGCCGACGCCGAAACUUCAUCAACUCCUUUCACCGGGCUCACCGCCGCGACAGCCGAACCUUCGAGCUCUCCGUUCCAGCGGCGACGCCUCCCGGAUCAGUAGCCGCCGUUUCUUUUUCUUCUGUCGAGCGCCACCUCUGUCGUUGGUCAUCGUCGGGCAGCCCCUCGCACCAGCUACGUCACCCUUUCUCCCUUACUUAUCUCCGUUAAAUUCCGAAUUUUCGACUGACGAUUCAGUUCAAACUUGGGUGUUAUAUUAUUUUGUUCUUCACUGGAAAGGGCUUGGUAUUGUUUGCUAUACUAAAUCCUGCUCCUAUGGUUCUCAUUCUUGGGGUCUACUGAUCUGGAAUUACUCCCUACUUGACUAAGCACUAUUAUCAUCUCUCGGUGCUUGCUCUUCAUACUUGCUAGAGUUAUGAAAUCCUAAGGCCAUGUGUCUAUGUCCUUGGCUAUAUGUGGUUGUUGGUCUACAUGAUGCAACGAGUGUGGUGGUGUUGAGGUGAUUACCUCACUUGGAUGAUUUCUCUCGGCUUGUCGGGGCUGCUCCUAUCUCGCUGUCUCUCCUUCCUCCCUUGCUGCUCCUUUGUUCCUUGAACCUUUGGGAGUCAAAAAGUGGGAGGAAGAGGGUGGUGAUGGGUGGUAUUUAUAGCCGAAAUUCCUUGGCAUUUUGUGUCUAAUUUGGGAUAAAGAUUCCUUCACUUUUGAAUUUGAGCUUAAAGCUUCUAUGUGGAGAGCUCCACUUUCUAUUUUGAGCUAACAACUCACUUCUCUUUUUGAGUUGAGCUAAAAAGCGUUCUUGCCAAAUUUGUGUAAGCUGAUAUCAGCCUUGGGUUUUGUGGAAUAAAAUCUGAUUCACUUCUAUUUUCGGCUAAGGUUUCACCCUCCUUUGUGCUAGUACAUUUGGCCUCUUUUGCCAAAAUCGUGAUAGCCUUGGGGAGUUCACUGUUGACUGAUCUUGGGAGAUUGAGAGGAUCACAUUUGCAGGGAUUUGCUGUUUCAUAUUUCCACCACUAAGUUUGAGCUGGCACUUUGGAGUCUUGCAUCUGCAAAUUCGAGAGAGAUGGUGGGGAAAGAGGAAAAGAAUGGCUUCCUACAACUCUUUGGUUUGAUUGCCACUUGUAGCUAGAAACAAGAUCCUAGGCUUGAGCUUUUAGAGUAGCUAAGAAUAGCAAUUCACCUUUCUUUGUAUAAAAUCAUGUGCUAGAUGCAUCUCCAUUAUUCAUGAAAUUGUAUUUGCUUUUCUCCAAUAAAUUCCAAUAAUCUUUUAUUUCAA
This is a long non-coding RNA of Salvia splendens (bonfire salvia), 1508 nucleotides long. RefSeq lists it as uncharacterized. NCBI's taxonomy places the organism in Eukaryota, Viridiplantae, Streptophyta, Magnoliopsida, Lamiales, Lamiaceae. The transcript has 2 exons. The record is from RefSeq and is a predicted model, not a curated record.